Molecule: ribosomal RNA, 497 nt
Filed under: uncultured bacterium
Lineage: Bacteria
Description: partial 16S ribosomal RNA
Rfam family: Bacterial small subunit ribosomal RNA
Source: RNAcentral
GACGAACGCUGGCGGCGUGCCUAAUACAUGCAAGUAGAACGCUGAAGAGAGGAGCUUACUCUUCUUGGAUGAGUUGCGAACGGGUGAGUAACGCGUAGGUAACCUGCCUUGUAGCGGGGGAUAACUAUUGGAAACGAUAGCUAAUACCGCAUAACAAUGGAUGACACAUGUCAUUUAUUUGAAAGGGGCAAUUGCUCCACUACAAGAUGGACCUGCGUUGUAUUAGCUAGUAGGUGAGGUAAUGGCUCACCUAGGCGACGAUACAUAGCCGACCUGAGAGGGUGAUCGGCCACACUGGGACUGAGACACGGCCCAGACUCCUACGGGAGGCAGCCGUAGGGAAUCUUCGGCAAUGGGGGCAACCCUGACCGAGCAACGCCGCGUGAGUGAAGAAGGUUUUCGGAUCGUAAAGCUCUGUUGUAAGUCAAGAACGGGUGUGAGAGUGGAAAGUUCACACUGUGACGGUAGCUUACCAGAAAGGGACGGCUAACUACGUG